UACGGGGGGAGCAAGCGUUGUUCGGAUUUACUGGGCGUAAAGGGCGCGUAGGCGGCCACUGCAAGUCAGUUGUGAAAUCUCCGGGCUUAACCCGGAAGGGUCAACUGAUACUGCAGGGCUAGAGUGCAGAAGGGGCAACUGGAAUUCUCGGUGUAGCGGUGAAAUGCGUAGAUAUCGAGAGGAACACCUGCGGCGAAGGCGGGUUGCUGGGCUGACACUGACGCUGAGGCGCGAAAGCCAGGGGAGCGAACGGG
This 254-nucleotide ribosomal RNA is filed under the name uncultured bacterium. RNAcentral's name for it is "partial 16S ribosomal RNA". It matches the Rfam family "Bacterial small subunit ribosomal RNA", at positions 524 to 776 of the family's 1533-position model. The record is from RNAcentral.